RNAcentral lists this ribosomal RNA (253 nucleotides) under uncultured bacterium. RNAcentral describes it as "partial 16S ribosomal RNA". It matches the Rfam family "Bacterial small subunit ribosomal RNA", at positions 524 to 776 of the family's 1533-position model. The record is from RNAcentral.
UACGGAGGAUCCGAGCGUUAUCCGGAUUUGUUGGGUUUAAAGGGUGCGUAGGCGGUUUGAUAAGUUAGAGGUGAAAUGUCGGGGCUCAACCCCGAAACUGCCUCUAAUACUGUUGGACUAGAGAAUAGUUGCGGUAGGCGGAAUGUAUGGUGUAGCGGUGAAAUGCUUAGAGAUCAUACAGAACACCGAUUGCGAAGGCAGCUUACCAAACUAUAUCUGACGUUGAGGCACGAAAGCGUGGGUAGCAAACAGG